GUUUGAUCCUGGCUCAGAGUGAACGCUGGCGGUGUGCUUAACACAUGCAAGUCGAACGAGAACGGUACUAGCUUGCUAGUAUGUCAGCUAAGUGGCGGACGGGUGAGUAAUGUAUAGUUAAUCUGCCCUUUAGAGAGGAAUAACUACUGGAAACGGUAGCUAAUACCUCAUACUCCUUUUACCUUAAUGGUAAUUGGGAAACGUUUUUCCGCUAAAGGAUGAGACUAUAUGGUAUCAGGUAGUUGGUGGGGUAAGAGCCCACCAAGCCAAUGACGCCUAGCUGGUCUGAGAGGAUGAUCAGGCACACUGGAACUGAGACACGGUCCAGACUCCUACGGGAGGCAGCAGUGGGGAAUAUUGCACAAUGGAGGAAACUCUGAUGCAGCAACACCGCGUGGAGGAUGACACAUUUCGGUGCGUAAACUCCUUUUAUAUGGGAAGAUAAUGACGGUACCAUAUGAAUAAGCACCGGCUAACUCCGUGCCAGCAGCCGCGGUAAUACGGAGGGUGCAAGCGUUACUCGGAAUCACUGGGCGUAAAGCGCGCGCAGGCGGCCAUUUAAGUUGGAUGUGAAAGCCUACGGCUCAACCGUAGAACUGCAUCCAAAACUAUUUGGCUAGAGUGUGGGAGAGGAAGAUGGAAUUAGUUGUGUAGGGGUAAAAUCCGUAGAGAUAACUAGGAAUACCAAAAGCGAAGGCAAUCUUCUGGAACAUUACUGACGCUGAGGCGCGAAAGCGUGGGGAGCAACAGGAUUAGAUACCCUGGUAGUCCACGCCCUAAACGAUGAAUGUUAGUCGUCGGGUAGCUAGUCUAUUCGGUGAUGCAGCUAACGCAUUAAACAUUCCGCCUGGGGAGUACGGUCGCAAGAUUAAAACUCAAAGGAAUUGACGGG
Molecule: ribosomal RNA, 892 nt
Filed under: uncultured bacterium
Lineage: Bacteria
Description: bacterial SSU rRNA
Rfam family: Bacterial small subunit ribosomal RNA
Source: RNAcentral